AGUGAACGCUGGCGGCAGGCCUAACACAUGCAAGUCGAGCGGCAGCGCGUCCGACCACCCUCGGGUGGUCGGAUGGCGGCGAGCGGCGGACGGGUGAGGAAUGCAUCGGAAUCUGCCUCGUUGUGGGGGAUAACGUAGGGAAACUUACGCUAAUACCGCAUACGACCUACGGGUGAAAGUGGGGGACCUUCGGGCCUCACGCGAUGAGAUGAGCCGAUGCCGGAUUAGCUAGUUGGCGGGGUAAAGGCCCACCAAGGCGACGAUCCGUAGCUGGUCUGAGAGGAUGAUCAGCCACACUGGAACUGAGACACGGUCCAGACUCCUACGGGAGGCAGCAGUGGGGAAUAUUGGACAAUGGGGGCGAACCCUGAUCCAGCCAUGCCGCGUGUGUGAAGAAGG
RNAcentral lists this ribosomal RNA (399 nucleotides) under uncultured bacterium. RNAcentral describes it as "bacterial SSU rRNA". It matches the Rfam family "Bacterial small subunit ribosomal RNA", at positions 30 to 414 of the family's 1533-position model. The record is from RNAcentral.